This 759-nucleotide ribosomal RNA is filed under the name Bacillus subtilis. RNAcentral's name for it is "bacterial SSU rRNA". It matches the Rfam family "Bacterial small subunit ribosomal RNA", at positions 40 to 781 of the family's 1533-position model. The record is from RNAcentral. Lineage: Bacteria; Bacillati; Bacillota; Bacilli; Caryophanales; Bacillaceae.
CGGCGGGUGCUAAUACAUGCAAGUCGAGCGGACAGAAGGGAGCUUGCUCCCGGAUGUUAGCGGCGGACGGGUGAGUAACACGUGGGUAACCUGCCUGUAAGACUGGGAUAACUCCGGGAAACCGGAGCUAAUACCGGAUAGUUCCUUGAACCGCAUGGUUCAAGGAUGAAAGACGGUUUCGGCUGUCACUUACAGAUGGACCCGCGGCGCAUUAGCUAGUUGGUGAGGUAACGGCUCACCAAGGCGACGAUGCGUAGCCGACCUGAGAGGGUGAUCGGCCACACUGGGACUGAGACACGGCCCAGACUCCUACGGGAGGCAGCAGUAGGGAAUCUUCCGCAAUGGACGAAAGUCUGACGGAGCAACGCCGCGUGAGUGAUGAAGGUUUUCGGAUCGUAAAGCUCUGUUGUUAGGGAAGAACAAGUGCAAGAGUAACUGCUUGCACCUUGACGGUACCUAACCAGAAAGCCACGGCUAACUACGUGCCAGCAGCCGCGGUAAUACGUAGGUGGCAAGCGUUGUCCGGAAUUAUUGGGCGUAAAGGGCUCGCAGGCGGUUUCUUAAGUCUGAUGUGAAAGCCCCCGGCUCAACCGGGGAGGGUCAUUGGAAACUGGGAAACUUGAGUGCAGAAGAGGAGAGUGGAAUUCCACGUGUAGCGGUGAAAUGCGUAAAGAUGUGGAGGAACACCAGUGGCGAAGGCGACUCUCUGGUCUGUAACUGACGCUGAGGAGCGAAAGCGUGGGGAGCGAACAGGAUUAG